AGCUUAUAUAUACACACGUUUCUUUUCAGGAAACUCGUCGAUAGUCGAAAUCUCGACGAUUAUUAAUAGUAAUUUUCUCUCUCGAUAUGUAGGGGUGUCCCGUCGAAAAGUCCAACCCUGACGCAUAGCCCGACCAUGUACGGUGAUGCAUUAAACGCCAAUCUCCAGUAUUUCCAGGCGGCACUCGGGGACUCUAAUAUGGGAUUUCUAAACAACUCGAUGUGCACGUCGACGACAACGAGUCCCGACAAGGAGCACGUGUUAGCCCAUAACGAUUUAAUGUGAGUAAAACACUCUGUAGCGUGCCAUAUAUAUAUAUAUAUAUUUAAUCCAUGUUACAUGUUUCCCAAAAUACUUGGCAAUGUUAUAUACCUACGCAAAUCUUUAAGUACACGCUACUCCCGAUCAUAAAUCACCAGACACUUGUUAGUCUUAAACAAAAUGUUUAUUGCGACAGGUUUAUAACAGAACUUGAGACGUGCUCAUCUUUUGCAGUUUGCUUGUUUUACGCCUAUCCUUAGUUGAUUUAAAACAUCAUUAUCUCGGAUUAAGAUAUAUCGUAAAAGAUGCAUCACGCGUUAAUGAUUGAAACGUGAUUUUUUAUUUUGUAAUUGUAAUCCGAAUACGAAGACGGCCGAAUGAAUCAUUCGCCGCGAACAAUUAAACAAAAAAAAAA
Molecule: long non-coding RNA, 676 nt
Organism: Apis florea (little honeybee)
Lineage: Eukaryota; Metazoa; Arthropoda; Insecta; Hymenoptera; Apidae
Gene: FoxP
Source: RefSeq, a predicted model, not a curated record